UGGAUAUGAUGUGGAUUUGAU
This 21-nucleotide non-coding RNA is filed under the name Caenorhabditis elegans. The record is from RNAcentral. Lineage: Eukaryota; Metazoa; Nematoda; Chromadorea; Rhabditida; Rhabditidae.